Molecule: transfer RNA, 73 nt
Filed under: Stegodyphus mimosarum
Lineage: Eukaryota; Metazoa; Arthropoda; Arachnida; Araneae; Eresidae
Rfam family: tRNA
About the family: Transfer RNA (tRNA) molecules are approximately 80 nucleotides in length. Their secondary structure includes four short double-helical elements and three loops (D, anti-codon, and T loops). Further hydrogen bonds mediate the characteristic L-shaped molecular structure. tRNAs have two regions of fundamental functional importance: the anti-codon, which is responsible for specific mRNA codon recognition, and the 3' end, to which the tRNAs corresponding amino acid is attached (by aminoacyl-tRNA synthetases). tRNAs cope with the degeneracy of the genetic code in two manners: having more than one tRNA (with a specific anti-codon) for a particular amino acid; and 'wobble' base-pairing, i.e. permitting non-standard base-pairing at the 3rd anti-codon position.
Source: Rfam by way of RNAcentral
UCCUUCGUGGUGUAGUGCUUAGGACGCUGGGCGUAUAUUCCAGAGGUCCGUGGUUCGAGUCCCGGCGAAGGCG